This 426-nucleotide ribosomal RNA is filed under the name uncultured bacterium. RNAcentral describes it as "bacterial SSU rRNA". It matches the Rfam family "Bacterial small subunit ribosomal RNA", at positions 355 to 776 of the family's 1533-position model. The record is from RNAcentral.
UCGAGAAUCUUCGGCAAUGGGCGAAAGCCUGACCGAGCGACGCCGCGUGCGGGAUGAAGGCCUUCGGGUUGUAAACCGCUGUCGGAGGGGAUGAAAUGCCGAUGGGUACUCCCAACGGCUUGACUGAUCCUCGGAGGAAGGGUGGGCUAAGUUCGUGCCAGCAGCCGCGGUAAGACGUACCACCCAAACGUUAUUCGGAAUCACUGGGCUUAAAGAGUCCGUAGGCGGCUCGGUAAGUUGGAUGUGAAAUACCUCGGCUCAACCGAGGAACUGCAUUCAAAACUACCGAGCUUGAGAGAGACAGAGGUAAGCGGAACUGAUGGUGGAGCGGUGAAAUGCGUUGAUAUCAUCAGGAACACCGGUGGCGAAAGCGGCUUACUGGGUCUCUUCUGACGCUGAGGGACGAAAGCUAGGGGAGCGAACGGG